Gadus morhua (Atlantic cod) is the source of this 1606-nucleotide long non-coding RNA. The record is from Ensembl. NCBI's taxonomy places the organism in Eukaryota, Metazoa, Chordata, Actinopteri, Gadiformes, Gadidae.
CAUCAUAUGACACAGUUGCAGCAGCCAUAAAGGAUCCACUCGUCUUGGCCAAAUUGCAGUUCUACGCAGCAAUUGCCAGGACCUUCAAUCCCUUCCUGAAAAAAUAUCAGACGGAUGAGCCUGUGCUCCCAUUCCUCCCCAAAGGACCUGACCGAGUUGAUGAUGUCUACUCAGACGCUUCAUAAAGAGAGACGUACUACACGAUAUCACUGCCCUGCAGCUGACCAAACUGGAUGUCACAGACAAGACCAUCUGGCUCAGCCCACAAGACAUCAGCAUUGGUCUAGGUGCAGAGUCAGUCCUUAAGGUAGUGUGAUGUUUUCAAAAGAUAAUUUUACAAAUGGUUAGGGUGAACCAGGUGUCAUUGAAGACAUGUUCUAUAUUCAUGGCUAAUUUCUCUCUAGAGAAUCAAAGGUGCAGAGCUCAGGGUGCUCGAGUUCAAGAGAGUGCAUGCAGGGACUGAGUAACAUGAUCAAGAAAGUGCAGGACAAGAGCCCCCUCAAGUAUCUGACUGUUAGGCAGAUGGUGUGCCUGAAUCCGUCAGUAAUGUAUAGAGAACCAGAAAGAGGCAGGAAUCACAUGAAAGGGCUGGUUCAAAGGUUUCUCCAGGACAAACAGCUUACUGAUACUUCUUCGGGGGAUGUCAUACUGCAGCAGUUUGACAGUCUCCUUUCCUUGGAGAGCCGGAGUGAGGACUUCCUCUCCUUUCAAACCAUGCAGACGAGGCUGGACAUCUUCCUGAGCAGCGCCAUGGAGCCUUAUCCCGAGCUGUGGGCCUUCUGCAAGAAGCUGCUCAUCCUCAUCCACGGUCAAGCUACAGUUGAGCGUGGAUUCUCAAUCAAUAAAGAGGUGGAGUCUGAUAACUUGGCGGAGGAUACUGUGGUCACACGGAGACUGGUGUGUGACUACAUCAUACAACAUGGAGGUGUUACCAAGGUUCCACUCAGUAAACCGCUACUGGAAAGUGUAGCAAGGGCAAGGACAAGGUAUCGUACCCAUCUGGAGACCAAAAGAAGGAACAGGGAGGCAAAAGACCAGGCUCUCAAGAGGAGGGAAGCAGAGGACUGUCUUGAGGAGCUGAAGGUUAAGAGGAGACGUGUACAGGAGGUAUCUGAGGGUCUGGCUAGGGAUGCGGACAAGAUGGCUGAGGAGGCUGAAGCGAAGGCAGGGAGCAAGAUGGCUGGCCUGAUCACCAGGUCAAACAUUCUGCGGAGAGGCCAUAAGGAGAAGUUGGCAGAACUGGCUCUCCUUGAUAAAGAGAUCGCUGCUAAGAGUGCAGAGCUUAGGAGUUGACUGUGUGAUCAUAAUUUUAUUUAUUGUUGAGUUGAUUUUCAUUGUUUAUUGUUGAGGAGUCUGUGCUGUUGGCGUAAGUACUCACCACUAUGCUGCAAUGUUCCAUCAUUCCAUAAUGCUUUACAGUCCACAUUUUCACAUUUGUUGAAAUAAAUGAACAAAUUUUGAACAAACGUUGUCGGUAGGUCUGUGAAAUAGGCCGUGAAAUAGGUAUUAAUUUUUAUAUAAGUGGUCUUAAAAGGGACUUAAAAAGACUUGAAUUUGACUUGAACAAACCUGUAGGAACCCUGUAAUAAAAUAACCUCAAACAGCU